This 253-nucleotide ribosomal RNA is filed under the name uncultured bacterium. RNAcentral's name for it is "partial 16S ribosomal RNA". It matches the Rfam family "Bacterial small subunit ribosomal RNA", at positions 524 to 776 of the family's 1533-position model. The record is from RNAcentral.
UACGAAGGGGGCUAGCGUUGCUCGGAAUCACUGGGCGUAAAGCGCACGUAGGCGGAUUUCUAAGUCGGGGGUGAAAUCCUGGAGCUCAACUCCAGAACUGCCUUCGAUACUGGAAAUCUCGAGUCCGGGAGAGGUGAGUGGAACUCCGAGUGUAGAGGUGAAAUUCGUAGAUAUUCGCAAGAACACCAGUGGCGAAGGCGGCUCACUGGUCCGGUACUGACGCUGAGGUGCGAAAGCGUGGGGAGCAAACAGG